GCUUGCAUCAUGAUUUACAUUUGAGUGAGUGGCGAACUGGUGAGUAACACGUGGGAAACCUGCCCAGAAGCGGGGGAUAACACCUGGAAACAGAUGCUAAUACCGCAUAACAACUUGGACCGCAUGGUCCGAGUUUGAAAGAUGGCUUCGGCUAUCACUUUUGGAUGGUCCCGCGGCGUAUAGCUAGAUGGUGGGGUAACGGCUCACCAUGGCAAUGAUACGUAGCCGACCUGAGAGGGUAAUCGGCCACAUUGGGACUGAGACACGGCCCAAACUCCUACGGGAGGCAGCAGUAGGGAAUCUUCCACAAUGGACGAAAGUCUGAUGGAGCAACGCCGCGUGAGUGAAGAAGGGUUUCGGCUCGUAAAACUCUGUUGUUAAAGAAGAACAUAUCUGAGAGUAACUGUUCAGGUAUUGACGGUAUUUAACCAGAAAGCCACGGCUAACUACGUGCCAGCAGCCGCGGUAAUACGUAGGUGGCAAGCGUUGUCCGGAUUUAUUGGGCGUAAAGCGAGCGCAGGCGGUUUUUUAAGUCUGAUGUGAAAGCCUUCGGCUCAACCGAAGAAGUGCAUCGGAAACUGGGAAACUUGAGUGCAGAAGAGGACAGUGGAACUCCAUGUGUAGCGGUGAAAUGCGUAGAUAUAUGGAAGAACACCAGUGGCGAAGGCGGCUGUCUGGUCUGUAACUGACGCUGAGGCUCGAAAGUAUGGGUAGCAAACAGGAUUAGAUACCCUGGUAGUCCAUACCGUAAACGAUGAAUGCUAAGUGUUGGAGGGUUUCCGCCCUUCAGUGCUGCAGCUAACGCAUUAAGCAUUCCGCCUGGGGAGUACGGCCGCAAGGCUGAAACUCAAAGGAAUUGACGGGGGCCCGCACAAGCGGUGGAGCAUGUGGUUUAAUUCGAAGCUACGCGAAGAACCUUACCAGGUCUUGACAUACUAUGCAAAUCUAAGAGAUUAGACGUUCCCUUCGGGGACAUGGAUACAGGUGGUGCAUGGUGUCGUCAGCUCG
RNAcentral lists this ribosomal RNA (1008 nucleotides) under Lactiplantibacillus plantarum. RNAcentral's name for it is "bacterial SSU rRNA". It matches the Rfam family "Bacterial small subunit ribosomal RNA", at positions 66 to 1062 of the family's 1533-position model. Lineage: Bacteria; Bacillati; Bacillota; Bacilli; Lactobacillales; Lactobacillaceae. The record is from RNAcentral.